GUACUACUGAAGAGUCCAAGACUAGGAUGAAACAAUCGGCUGUCCAGUAC
This 50-nucleotide non-coding RNA is filed under the name Trichobilharzia regenti. The record is from RNAcentral. Lineage: Eukaryota; Metazoa; Platyhelminthes; Trematoda; Strigeidida; Schistosomatidae.